UAGGAUUUCCUUAGUAGCUGCGAGCGAACAGGAAAAAGCCCAGCACUGAAUCCCGCGGCCGUUUCGGACGCUGGGAAAUGUGGUGUUAGGGAGGAUCCAUUUAUCCCGAGAUUGUGCGGCGUGUCCAAGUCCUUCUUGAACGGGGCCAUAACCCAUAGAGGGUGCCAGGCCCGUAGUGACUGCUGCCAAUUUCGGGAGGAUCUCUCCUCAGAGUCGGGUUGCUUGAGAGUGCAGCCCUAAGUGGGUGGUAAACUCCAUCUAAGGCUAAAUAUAACCACGAGACCGAUAGCGAACAAGUACCGUGAGGGAAAGUUGAAAAGCACUUUGAAGAGAGAGUUCAAUAGUACGUGAAACCGUUCAGGGGUAAACCUGAGAAACCCGAAAGUUCGAAAGGGGAAAUUCAAUCGUGUCUCGAUUCAGUGUUGACAUUAUUGUGCGACAGGAAACAAAUUCGUUUGUAUGCCAGCGCCAAUUGCGUUUUCAAAUUGUGAUCGAAUGCGUGCACUUUUCCCCUAGUAGGACGUUGCGAUCCGUUGGGUGCAGAUCUAAGGCCCGUAGUGGAGCCCAAUCGGUUUGGUUUUAUUAUCAUUCCGUGUUGGACCUAUGGUGUCCCGGUCUGCUUGCUCGACGGUAGAAUAGAUGGUGCAGGGCCGCAGCUUUUUGCGUCUGACCCAUGGCAAGCCCUUUCCUGUGUUCAGCAGUCGGACCUAGUGCCGUCUCUGACCUGGAAAGACUGUUUUAGCUGUGGUGUUCUUGGACAGACUCUGUUUAAACACCAAUCUGCAACGCUUUAGCUUUGGGUACUUUCAGGACCCGUCUUGAAACACGGACCAAGGAGUCUAGCAUGUGCGCGAGUCAUUGGGAAUUUAACUAAACCUAAAGGCGAAAUGAAAGUAAAGGUUUGGCCUUCGGGCCAUGACCUAGGGAAGAUGGGUGGUUUUACAAUUACUGUAGCCGCCCCGCACUCCCGGGGCGUCUCAUUCUCAUUACGAGAAGAGGCGCACCAAGAGCGUACACGCUGGGACCCGAAAGAUGGUGAACUAUGCCUGGUCAGGACGAAGUCAGGGGAAACCCUGAUGGAGGUCCGUAGCGAUUCUGACGUGCAAAUCGAUCGUCGGAACUGGGUAUAGGGGCGAAAGACUAAUCGAACCAUCUAGUAGCUGGUUCCCUCCGAAGUUUCCCUCAGGAUAGCUGGCGCUCAUUGAUACGAGUCUCAUCUGGUAAAGCGAAUGAUUAGAGGCAUUGGGGUCGAAACGACCUCAACCUAUUCUCAAACUUUAAAUGGGUGAGAUCUUCGGCUUGCUUAAAUGAAUUUUUUUGAAGCCGCAAGACACGGAUUAGAGUGCCAAGUGGGCCAUUUUUG
Molecule: ribosomal RNA, 1363 nt
Filed under: Cryptophagus sp. CO146
Lineage: Eukaryota; Metazoa; Arthropoda; Insecta; Coleoptera; Cryptophagidae
Description: eukaryotic LSU rRNA
Rfam family: Eukaryotic large subunit ribosomal RNA
Source: RNAcentral